AUUGAACGCUGGCGGCAGGCCUAACACAUGCAAGUCGAGCGGAUGAAGGGAGCUUGCUCCUGGAUUCAGCGGCGGACGGGUGAGUAAUGCCUAGGAAUCUGCCUGGUAGUGGGGGAUAACGUCCGGAAACGGGCGCUAAUACCGCAUACGUCCUGAGGGAGAAAGUGGGGGAUCUUCGGACCUCACGCUAUCAGAUGAGCCUAGGUCGGAUUAGCUAGUUGGUGGGGUAAAGGCCUACCAAGGCGACGAUCCGUAACUGGUCUGAGAGGAUGAUCAGUCAACAUGGAACUGAGAAACGGUCCCGACUCCUACGGGAGGCAGCAGUGGGGAAUAUUGGGCCAUGGGCGAAAGCCUGAUCCAGCCAUGGCGGGUGUGUGAAGAAGGUCUUCGGAUUGUAAAGCACUUUAAGUUGGGAGGAAGGGCAGUAAGUUAAUAACUUGCUGUUUUGACGUUACCAACAGAAUAAGCACCGGCUAAAUUCGUG
This 484-nucleotide ribosomal RNA is filed under the name uncultured bacterium. Its description in RNAcentral is "partial 16S ribosomal RNA". It matches the Rfam family "Bacterial small subunit ribosomal RNA", at positions 30 to 507 of the family's 1533-position model. The record is from RNAcentral.